GCAUUGACAUGUCUCUAGGGUGUUAAAAAUGUAAAAUGAAAAGAUAGUUAAGCAAAAAAAAAAAAAAACAAUCCAAUUUUGGACACCUGUAAAUUAGAAAAACCCUAGAAUUAUAGUUCACACAGGCUGGUUAAUAAAUGUUGAAAUACAAGCAAGAAAGACUCAUUAUACAACCAAACUUUCCCCCUAAAAGUGAUAUAUACAAACAAUACAAGAGGACAAAUUUUCAUUUAACUUUUUCUGUUCUUUUUUUGUCUGGCAUGCUUGACUAGAUACCUAUCGCAUGAAAGUGUUAAUUUUUAUUCGGUUUUCCUUCUGCGCCUACAAUUCCCUAUUGAUGUAAAUUUAGUCCAUACGACGCGGGUACUUUGUGCAUAUCGCUGUGAAAUACAAUAGGUUAUCCCUCUAAUUUACUUAAAUGCUACUGAGAAAUUGUUUUGUGAUGGGAACUAGUAUUUUGAGUUUUCCCAGUCCAACUUUCUUCUCCCAGUCAAGUCAGUAAUUCACUUAGUGAUCUUGAACAAAUCAUUUGAUUUAAUUGUACCCAUAUCAAGCCAGCUGGAAAACUGAGCAAAAAGCAUCUCUUCAUUGAAAACCAAAUGCUAUGCCUAAACUGUGCCUUCCUGAGUAAGCAAACAUGGGCAAGACUAUCCCAUUUUUCCCUUGGGACUAUCCUGAGGGAGUCAAGCAUUCCAAAUGCAUUUCAAAACCCAGAAGAUAGAUUCAAGUUUGAUCUUGACAGAUGUUUUCUCUAAUACAGCAAUUGACGUGCUGUAUUUGCAAGAAUAAAAGAUCUUAAAUAUUUAGCAGCGUAUUAUCAUAACAUUUUUUAAAGACUCACUAUUUAUAUUUCAAACGUGCUAAUUUACAUGUUCACUUCAAACAAUGUAGAUCUCAACUGUUAUGUUUUUAAAGCAUCUGGUGGCUUACUUGGUGAAUGCUUGUGAUUCAUAAAGCCUAUUAUUAGUCCUCCUGAACAAACAUCAGCUAAAAAAAUAGAGUAAGCUAGCUUUUAUGUACUGUUUAGCAGAAAGUUCACUGUAUUACAUAAAGCAUUGCCAUAUAUUAUUCCUUUAACUGUUACAAAUUAUAUUAUAACCUGCUUGUUUGAGGCAUGUUUUGUUUUGCUUCCUAAACUAGUGUACAUUACAUACACACAUCUUGCUAAAGGCUGCCUCAAACUAAAAUCAUUAAAAUAUUAACCAACUGGUAUAGAGGAACAGCACUUGACUAAUGUAGCCGUCUGAGUUAUUUACUAACUCUUGGGAAUGUUUCUGCUGCUCCAUGAACGUUAGAUUUGUUUAAGGCUAAGCACCUUCACCUCUGAUUAACCACAAAUGAAGACGUUCAGCUCCUUUCAGCGGUGUGUCCUACAUGCAUCUGUUCUUGACCGACUCAUUCAAAGGAGCACCCCUGUGACUUCUUACCCUGCAGUUAAAACAUACAUGGAAAAAUACCACUGAAGAGUUAACGAUGACUACAAUGGGACAAAGCCACUUCUGACUCGCACCCUGAGGACAUCAGAAGCAGGCUCAAGCCCCCAGAAGCAACCACUACAGUGAUACGCUCUACUCCACCUCCUCCUUAGAAGCGCGCGAUGUUGGAACAACUUAUCUCCGUAGUUAUAUCAGCGCAUCUCCACAGACUGACGUGUAACUAAGCACUGCAGGCUGCCAAUGUAGUUCAAAGCAAGCUUUCAUUAUUGCUCAAAAGGUGUUUUGGUCAGAUUAUUACAUACUUCUGUAGGAGUACUUGCUGACAGGAUUGUUUAACAACGAAUCUGUCGUUACUUGCGGUAGACCUUUUACCCCAGUGAUUCAAGAGUCACGAGACGUGUCUAGCACAUCCUAUGUCACGUUUGCAUGCAGUCUUGCAAAGCAAACAUAACUGAACAUUCCUUUUCAAUAGCUGUUUUUCUAAACUGUUACUCCACUAUUGUAAAAUGAGCUACAAGUUAUGACAUCUGAUAUACCCAUGGUCAUCCCUUUGGCAUUCUUUAUAAAAACAUGAGUCACAGAAAUAUUCAUCAUGAGGAACUCCCAUCGUAAGGAUGUGCAUUCAGUGUGUGAUUCAGCCUUGCUGUAUCUUUCCACUCUGUAAAAUAAAACUGUCAGAACAACUUGAAUGAAUCAUAUAUAGGCCAACAUGUAGGUUUAGUAAAGAAGAAAUCUGGUAAAAUACACGUUAAAAUUAAUUAGUUUUGUUUAGCUUAAAGUAACGCUUGUGUAUUGAAGAAAAAUGAACACCUUCAUUCUCCAUAAGCCCUUCUACCAAACGCUGUAAUAGCACUAUGUUGGUGUAAUCAGAAGACAAAACACCUACAAAAAAUUUGGCCUACUAACAAUGCUCAGAUCAUCAUAUCCAUAUCAGCAUGGAUAAAAAGCCUAAACAGGACAAAAUAACUAAUUGUGUUAAAUUGAUUGUGCUCGCACUCGGUCAAGGGGAAGGGAGGAAUUAACGACCGCAGUUGCCUCAAAGUUGUCAGAAGAAAAGGAACAGAACUAAUAUACCCAGAAGCCCUUUCAAAGAGAUUCAUGUUUCUUCCCAUGCUUUUUUUUUCCCCAAAGCCUUUCACCAUUUGGAGUAAGGUAAUUGGUGCUGACAGCUAUUCUUUUUGGCACCUUUUGUCUGCCCAAGCUAUAGAAUUAACAUUAAGUUUCCCUGAAUGGUAAAGUGGCUUCAUUCAGGAUUUUGUCAGCCUUCUGACAGUGUGAGGAGAGGAUACAGAUAUGGAGAUAAAUGCAAGAACAAUAUACCAUUUCACAUAAAGGAAAUGAACUCAAGAGAAUGGUU
Struthio camelus australis is the source of this 2793-nucleotide long non-coding RNA. RefSeq lists it as uncharacterized. NCBI's taxonomy places the organism in Eukaryota, Metazoa, Chordata, Aves, Struthioniformes, Struthionidae. The record is from RefSeq and is a predicted model, not a curated record.